Molecule: ribosomal RNA, 253 nt
Filed under: uncultured bacterium
Lineage: Bacteria
Description: partial 16S ribosomal RNA
Rfam family: Bacterial small subunit ribosomal RNA
Source: RNAcentral
GACGAACCGAGCGAACGUUGUUCGGAAUCACUGGGCUUAAAGGGCGCGUAGGCGGGCUGUCAAGUCUGGGGUGAAAUCCCGCGGCUCAACCGCGGAACUGCCUCAGAUACUGACGGUCUCGAGGGGGGUAGGGGCGAGCGGAACUGAUGGUGGAGCGGUGAAAUGCGUUGAUAUCAUCAGGAACACCGGUGGCGAAGGCGGCUCGCUGGACCUCUUCUGACGCUGAGGCGCGAAAGCUAGGGGAGCAAACGGG